This 463-nucleotide long non-coding RNA is filed under the name Physcomitrium patens. RNAcentral describes it as "long non-coding RNA (PPAT_LNC007436)". Lineage: Eukaryota; Viridiplantae; Streptophyta; Bryopsida; Funariales; Funariaceae. The record is from RNAcentral.
GUUAUCAAUUAAUAAAGGAGUAUUAUUAUUGGGAGAAAGCAUUGUAGUAUUUCUUGGUAUUUUAGUGGUUAAGAAUACGAUUAAUUGUGUGAUCCUAACAAGUAAAACUCAUGCACUUAGUCUUUUUUUGUGUUCAAAUUCCCGUAUACAGGUUUAUUCUAUUAUUGUAGAAUAAAUAAAACAACAAUCACAUUUAUCUUAUAUUAUAAUUUACAAAAAAUUUAGCUAAUGAGUGCAACAUCAUCUCACUUUACAUCAAUUAUAAGGUGUCAAAAUUAUGAAGCAUAUAAUAAUAUGGAUUGAUUGCCUUGUUGCAAAAUAUAGAUCUUAUUUAUUGUAAUAUAAAUUAUAUCAUAUUUUUUAUAUAUAGAUCAAAAAAAAUUCAAAAAAACUCUAAAUUAUCUAAUAAUAGAUCAUAUUAUUUAAAAAAAGAUAAAAACCAUGAUAAUACAAAAAUUGAAAG